This 3123-nucleotide long non-coding RNA is filed under the name Sus scrofa (pig). RNAcentral describes it as "lncRNA (ENSSSCG00000053013.1)". Lineage: Eukaryota; Metazoa; Chordata; Mammalia; Artiodactyla; Suidae. The record is from RNAcentral.
UGGGUUUACUUUGUGAAAAAGUCUUUGUACUAUAAAAUGAUGUUGUAGAAUACAUUUCAUUUUAAAUGUAUUACUUAAAAUAUGAACACUAAAUACAUUUUUUAGACAUUAAGAACACAUUUUGCAUAGCAUGUCCAUUAGGAGAAUCCAGGUCUGUAGAGAGGAUGCAUUAUCUUUUGGGCUUAUUCAUAGUUAACUAUUAAAGUAAGGGUUAUUAAAAUAAAAUUAAAAACUAAAGUUAAAAUUAAAAAUAAUUAAACAGGAGUUCCCUUUGUGGCACAGCAGAAAUGAAUCAAACUGGUAUCCAGGAGGAUGCAGGUUCAAUCCCUGGCCUCAUUCAGUGGGUUAAAGGAUCCAGCAUUGCCUUGAGUUGUGGUGUAGGCUGCAGAUAAAGCUCGGAUCCCAUGUUGCUGUUGCUGUGGCUCCGACCCCUAGCCUGGGAACUUCCAUAUGUCACAGGUGUGGCCCUAAAAAAAAAUAAAUAAAUAGAAUAUUAAAACUGUAUGCAUAUAAUGGAAAUGGAAAUGCAUGAGAAAACCUUAAAAUAUACCCCACAUCUAUCACUGUUCACAAUCAGUGCAUUGAUCUCAAUAGCUGGCUUAAAUAUUCUUACGAAUUUUUUUCUUAAUGAGAAAAUAUGUCACUUUUUGUUCCCUUAUUUGCACCAUUGCAUUUGCUGUUUCUUCUUCUCAGAAUGCUUUCACCCACAUUUUUAAUCUUGAUAAAUUCCUUCCUUAGAGACUAAGUUGGGAUGGUUUCACAGAUGGUAUAUACAUAUGUCCAAACUCAUCAAAUUGUAUACAUUAAACAUACACUGAUUUCUGUUUAUCAAUUAUACCUCAGUAAACUGUUUAUAAAAGACUAAGUUGGACUGCUACCCUCUCUGGGAAGCCUUAUCUUUUGCCUAUGACCAGAGUUAGCUGUCAUCCUAGUGCCUCUUCUCAGACAUAUGAGAUCACUGGAGCAUUUAUACACUCAGGUUUAGGAGAGAGAGCUUGGGUUCUAACAUCUACCCCCGUACUUCUCAACUUUGUGAUAUUGAUGAUUCAUGUAACCUCUCCAUGCUUUAGUUUUCUUGUCAGUAAAGUGGGAAUAAAACAUAACCUCCCUCUUAAGAUGGUUUUAAUUAUUAAAUAAAUUAAAGCACAAAUUCAUAGGACAUAUCUGGCACAUUCUAGAUGUAUGAUAAGUCUUAAACAUUAUUACUUAUUUAUUUAUCUAUUUAUUUAAAUUACUCAAAUGAAUUUAUCACAUCUGUAGUUGCAUAAUUGUUAAACAUUAUUUUUGAAUCAAGCUUUUUGUGUUCUACAAUUUGGCCACUGCUAAGUUUCCUAAGGUUCCUGAUUAUGCCUUUACCAUAUCCUCUUGGUCUUGCACUAUGUAAGAGCAUCUGCCAUAUAUGUGGUAUUCAAUAAAUAAUUGUUUCAAUAUUUGUAUUGAAUCUCUAUUAGCCAAUUGUUAAACAGAGUUAUACUAAUGAUUAUGAGGUUGCUUAAAUAUUAACAACUGUUUAUGUUCAACAUAAUUUUCAUUAUAUCUGUAUUGAUAUUUCUAAGUUCUCUGAAUAUUAUAUCAAAUGGAUAAGUACUCAUUUCCCCAGAGUUCCACUAUCUGUCUGUGGGCUUACUUGAAUAUUUGUCUCAAAGAAUGGACUCUCUUUUCACAAAGAAAGGCCGAAGGAAAGAAUGGCCAAAGAACCAUCCAAACAUCACACAAAGAAGAGUUCUAAAUGAGCUGUCACCAGUUUGAGUGAAUCAGACUCUGUCCUCAGUUUGUACCUUCAAGUUUCACUCAUUUUGAUUUUCUCCCUCCUUGGCUAUGGCCAUGAGCUUUCCACACACAAUGUGACAAUGUCUAUACAAUGUCACAAAGUCUUAUAAAAGUUCAAACUUAUUCAAACUCAUGAAAGAGAACCACAUUUGAGCUCCCUGUAACAAACUGUUAUAGGUUUCAGGGGUUGAUUUUAGAAUACAACAAAAAUUAGAUAAUAUUUUUUUUUAAAAAAGGGAGAUACUAUCAGGCCUGGGGAAAGAAUUAGAAUAAUAUGUUUUAUAGAAAAGAAUAAUCCUCUUCCCUCUAUGACUUUUGCCUUCUUGUGAUUCUUGGCUUCAUUCUUCCCUGUGUGUGCCAACUUUAUUUUGGUUCACAUGGUAAAAAGUGAUCAUUCAUAGUUUUACUUACAACUCCAUUCGCUACAGAGUUGGGGUUUCUUAAUUCAAUUUUAAAUUCCUAAUUUUGAAUUUAAGAGGGAUGUUUAUUGGCAGAGAUCGGUUAGGUUCUCAAAAUAAGCCAGUCAAUUAUGAUCAAGGAGGCCAAGUUAUACUAAAAUAGCAUGGCUAAAUACACACACACACACACACACACACACACACACAAUAUGUACCUGAUUUUGAUGAUAAUAACAAUAAUAAAAGGAAUUUUAUGUAUAGUGGAUUUUAUAAUGUCACCCUCAAAAUCUAUAUCUACUGGAAACCUCAGAAAGUUGACUUUAUUUGGAAAUAUGUUCUUUGUAAAUGUAAGUAUAGUAAGGAAUUAGAUAAAUUAUACUAAAGGCCAAAGAUAGUGUCCUUCUUUAUAAGAGACAAAAGGGCACGGAGAAGAAAGCAAUAUGAAGAUGGAGGCAGAGAUUAAGGAUGUGUCUAGAAGCCAAAGAACAUUAAGGAUAUUGUUCAACCCCCAUAUGCCAGGAAAGGGGCAUGGGGAAGUUCCCCCUCAGAGACAGGAGGACAAAGAGGAUGGAAUGGCAAAAUUGGAACAUUUCAACAACAAAAAUGUGACAAAGGGAACAGCCCUGUUGACUCUGAUAUCAUACUUCUGGCUUCAUGAACUGUGAGAGAGUAAUUUCUGUUGUCUUGUACAAAGUUGAUAGUAAUUUAUUAUUGUAGCCCUAGGAAACUAAGAGGCCAAGCAAAGAGAAAAGACUAAAGGAGAGCAAUUAAGAAGCUCUUUUUCCACCAACAGAUGCUGCUUCCUUCUCUGUAAAAUAAUGCAUUCUGUAUUUUACUUUAACCAGGUAAGUUGUUUGCUUCCAAUGUCCAACUUAUAUUAAUUUAUGACUAUAAAAGGAUCCCAAGCAACUUAACCUAGAACAAUGUAAUAAUAGUUUAUUAUUGCUCACAAAUG